Molecule: ribosomal RNA, 724 nt
Filed under: uncultured Fusobacterium sp.
Lineage: Bacteria; Fusobacteriati; Fusobacteriota; Fusobacteriia; Fusobacteriales; Fusobacteriaceae
Description: bacterial SSU rRNA
Rfam family: Bacterial small subunit ribosomal RNA
Source: RNAcentral
GAUGAACGCUGACAGAAUGCUUAACACAUGCAAGUCGACUCGAGUCUUCGGACUUGGGUGGCGCACGGGUGAGUAACGCGUAAAGAACUUGCCUCUUAGACCGGGACAACAUCUGGAAACGGAUGCUAAUACCGGAUAUUAUGGUUUUUUCGCAUAGAGGAAUCAUGAAAGCUAGAUGCGCUAAGAGAGAGCUUUGCGUCCCAUUAGCUGGUUGGUGAGGUAACGGCCCACCAAGGCAAUGAUGGGUAGCCGGCCUGAGAGGGUGAACGGCCACAAGGGGACUGAGACACGGCCCUUACUCCUACGGGAGGCAGCAGUGGGGAAUAUUGGACAAUGGACCGCAAGUCUGAUCCAGCAAUUCUGUGUGCACGAUGACGUUUUUCGGAAUGUAAAGUGCUUUCAGUCGGGAAGAAGUCAGUGACGGUACCGACAGAAGAAGCGACGGCUAAAUACGUGCCAGCAGCCGCGGUAAUACGUAUGUCGCAUGCGUUAUCCGGAUUUAUUGGGCGUAAAGCGCGUCUAGGCGGCAAGGAAAGUCUGAUGUGAAAAUGCGGAGCUCAACUCCGUAUGGCGUUGGAAACUGCCUUACUAGAGUACUGGAGAGGCAGGCGGAACUACAAGUGUAGAGGUGAAAUUCGUAGAUAUUUGUAGGAAUGCCGAUGGGGAAGCCAGCCUACUGGACAGAUACUGACGCUAAAGCGCGAAAGCGUGGGUAGCAAACAGG